GACGAACGCUGGCGGCGUGCCUAAUACAUGCAAGUCGAACGAACCGCGACUAAGUGCUUGCACUAAGUCAAGGUGAGUGGCGAACGGGUGAGUAACACGUGGGUAACCUACCUCAUAGUGGGGGAUAACAGUCGGAAACGACUGCUAAUACCGCAUAGGACAUAGGAUCACAUGAUCCAGUGAGGAAAGGUGGCGCAAGCUAUCGCUAAGAGAUGGACCCGCGGUGCAUUAGCUAGUUGGUAGGGUAAAGGCCUACCAAGGCGAUGAUGCAUAGCCGACCUGAGAGGGUGAUCGGCCACAUUGGGACUGAGACAAGGCCCAAACUCCUACGGGAGGCAGCAGUAGGGAAUCUUCCGCAAUGGACGCAAGUCUGACGGAGCAACGCCGCGUGAGUGAAGAAGGUCUUCGGAUCGUAAAGCUCUGUUGUUAGAGAAGAACAGCGCAUAGAGUAACUGCUAUGCGUGUGACGGUAUCUAACCAGAAAGCCACGGCUAACUACGUG
This 502-nucleotide ribosomal RNA is filed under the name uncultured bacterium. RNAcentral's name for it is "partial 16S ribosomal RNA". It matches the Rfam family "Bacterial small subunit ribosomal RNA", at positions 28 to 507 of the family's 1533-position model. The record is from RNAcentral.